This 402-nucleotide ribosomal RNA is filed under the name uncultured bacterium. RNAcentral's name for it is "partial 16S ribosomal RNA". It matches the Rfam family "Bacterial small subunit ribosomal RNA", at positions 360 to 774 of the family's 1533-position model. The record is from RNAcentral.
AAUAUUGCACAAUGGGCGAAAGCCUGAUGCAGCGACGCCGCGUGAGGGAUGACGGCCUUCGGGUUGUAAACCUCUUUCAGUAAGGAAGAAGCGAAAGUGACGGUACUUGCAGAAGAAGCGCCGGCUAACUACGUGCCAGCAGCCGCGGUGAUACGUAGGGCGCAAGCGUUGUCCGGAUUUAUUGGGCGUAAAGAGCUCGUAGGUGGUUAGUCGCGUCUGCUGUGAAAACUCGAGGCUUAACCUCGAGCUUGCAGUGGGUACGGGCUGACUAGAGUGCGGUAGGGGAGACUGGAAUUCCUGGUGUAGCGGUGGAAUGCGCAGAUAUCAGGAGGAACACCGAUGGCGAAGGCAGGUCUCUGGGCCGUAACUGACACUGAGGAGCGAAAGCGUGGGGAGCGAACA